Molecule: long non-coding RNA, 279 nt
Organism: Malus domestica (apple)
Lineage: Eukaryota; Viridiplantae; Streptophyta; Magnoliopsida; Rosales; Rosaceae
Source: RefSeq, a predicted model, not a curated record
AUUUGAGAGAUGAACUUGGAUCGCUUGCCUGGAGACUGCUUCGGGCACAUUUUAUCGUUCACAUCUCCGGGAGAUGCAUGUCGUUUCUCGUAGUUUCAUCGUCGUUUCGUUCCACGGCCGAUAUGGAUAGUGUGUAGCAGAGAGUUUUGCCAUCAGACCACAAAGAGAUUCUAUCCAGAUGUCUAGCAAAGAUUUUUUUAUGAAGUUAUGCAGUCCAAGCCUAAUAGAUGAUGGUGAUAAGCUUUUGGCAACAAGUUAAUUAGGAGAUGAUGCAUGGAA